Molecule: non-coding RNA, 208 nt
Organism: Triticum urartu
Lineage: Eukaryota; Viridiplantae; Streptophyta; Magnoliopsida; Poales; Poaceae
Source: Rfam
GCAAAUAAAAACAUAGACUCUAAGUGUAAAACGAUGUAUAGAGUUUGAUACAUGCUCAGUGCUGGAAGGUCGGAAGGAGAAGUGUGAUAAGCUUUGCAUGGAAGCCUGAAAAACAGCUGCAGUGACGUUAAUUGUCAUAAGGUGGCGAAAUUCAUUUGUCGGAUAAGUGCUUAACUAGAGUAGCAACCUGCACGGAUGGUGUAAUGAC